Molecule: long non-coding RNA, 485 nt
Organism: Ornithodoros turicata
Lineage: Eukaryota; Metazoa; Arthropoda; Arachnida; Ixodida; Argasidae
Exons: 3
Source: RefSeq, a predicted model, not a curated record
GAAGACGACGAAGGAUGCAAAACAAGCCAGGCGCUGACAACAGCAAGUUGUGAGGAUGUGGUGCAUCGUGUUGUAUCUCCCUCUUCAAGUUCUCCUGUUGAGGAUCCAUCCAUCUCAUGGUGUACCUCUGCGUCCGUUUUCGAAGAACGUUCGAACAAUUGCCAUGGACUUGCGUCUGGAUACUCAAGCACUUCCUCUGACGACGGAUCUGACGAGGACAUCUCGAUCACAUCUUCAAGCCCAGAUUCGGGCUCCAGUACUACAGAUAAAAGACAGCAACUGAGCAACCCAUCGUAUGAGGGUGCUCGACUCACUCAAGGCACCAGCCUCCUCUUGAUUGUGGCACGCAUCCUCAGGUACCACGAUUCGAAGGAAGCUACUGAUAGCUUACUCAAGAUAAUCGAGGCACAUCUCCCUGAGAGUACCUACCUCCCAUCCACAAGAUACAUCUUCUUCAAGCACUUCACUGCUACUAAAGUGUUGUU